Molecule: ribosomal RNA, 434 nt
Filed under: uncultured Dorea sp.
Lineage: Bacteria; Bacillati; Bacillota; Clostridia; Lachnospirales; Lachnospiraceae
Also listed under: 1 other name
Description: partial 16S ribosomal RNA
Rfam family: Bacterial small subunit ribosomal RNA
Source: RNAcentral
ACGGGAGGCAGCAGUGGGGAAUAUUGCACAAUGGGCGAAAGCCUGAUGCAGCGACGCCGCGUGAAGGAAGAAGUAUUUCGGUAUGUAAACUUCUAUCAGCAGGGAAGAAAAUGACGGUACCUGACUAAGAAGCCCCGGCUAACUACGUGCCAGCAGCCGCGGUAAUACGUAGGGGGCAAGCGUUAUCCGGAUUUACUGGGUGUAAAGGGAGCGUAGACGGCAAUGCAAGUCUGAAGUGAAAGGCAUGGGCUCAACCUGUGGACUGCUUUGGAAACUGUAUGGCUAGAGUGUCGGAGAGGUAAGCGGAAUUCCUAGUGUAGCGGUGAAAUGCGUAGAUAUUAGGAGGAACACCAGUGGCGAAGGCGGCUUACUGGACGAUGACUGACGUUGAGGCUCGAAAGCGUGGGGAGCAAACAGGAUUAGAUACCCUGGUA